Molecule: long non-coding RNA, 379 nt
Organism: Sceloporus undulatus (fence lizard)
Lineage: Eukaryota; Metazoa; Chordata; Lepidosauria; Squamata; Phrynosomatidae
Exons: 4
Source: RefSeq, a predicted model, not a curated record
AGAGGAGGCCAGCCAGUCUGGCAGUUCCUACAGAACGGAGGACUAUGCGGAUGGGUCCAGGCUCUCUCCUCUGCCCCAGGAGUUGUCCUCUCGCCAGUCUGCUCAGACCAGGAGUACAAGCAGCGGUGAAGCAAGCAAUGAAAUGACAGAUGGCAGCGGUCGCCGUCUAAGCUCCAAGUCUUCUGCCAGCAAGAUUGUGCAUUUUGUUGACGCCAGUAAGACAAAGAAGUCUGAGAAGGGAAAAACGAAAGAGAAGAAAAAGCAAGAGAAAGUUGCUCGACGUGGUUCAAAAUCCUCUGGCAAAGAAAGAGGCCCCUCUCCUCCAUCCCCCGCAAUGUGAAAAUGUCACCUCAUGCUGCUUGCGGACGACAAAGUUGAA